This 657-nucleotide ribosomal RNA is filed under the name uncultured bacterium. RNAcentral's name for it is "bacterial SSU rRNA". It matches the Rfam family "Bacterial small subunit ribosomal RNA", at positions 67 to 719 of the family's 1533-position model. The record is from RNAcentral.
CGGUAGAGAGAAGCUUGCUUCUCUUGAGAGCGGCGGACGGGUGAGUAAUGCCUAGGAAUCUGCCUGGUAGUGGGGGAUAACGUUCGGAAACGGACGCUAAUACCGCAUACGUCCUACGGGAGAAAGCAGGGGACCUUCGGGCCUUGCGCUAUCAGAUGAGCCUAGGUCGGAUUAGCUAGUUGGUGGGGUAAUGGCUCACCAAGGCGACGAUCCGUAACUGGUCUGAGAGGAUGAUCAGUCACACUGGAACUGAGACACGGUCCAGACUCCUACGGGAGGCAGCAGUGGGGAAUAUUGGACAAUGGGCGAAAGCCUGAUCCAGCCAUGCCGCGUGUGUGAAGAAGGUCUUCGGAUUGUAAAGCACUUUAAGUUGGGAGGAAGGGUUGUAGAUUAAUACUCUGCAAUUUUGACGUUACCGACAGAAUAAGCACCGGCUAACUCUGUGCCAGCAGCCGCGGUAAUACAGAGGGUGCAAGCGUUAAUCGGAAUUACUGGGCGUAAAGCGCGCGUAGGUGGUUUGUUAAGUUGGAUGUGAAAUCCCCGGGCUCAACCUGGGAACUGCAUUCAAAACUGACUGACUAGAGUAUGGUAGAGGGUGGUGGAAUUUCCUGUGUAGCGGUGAAAUGCGUAGAUAUAGGAAGGAACACCAGUGGCGAA